GGCGGGAAUUUUUUCGCUUACUUAUGGUCGAAACUCAGAAUUCCCUAGGGAUUUUUGAGGGGAAGCCUGGCAGUCUGUUGUUCAGCUAUAGCCAGCAGUUGCUGUCAAGCAACAAGUUUUAUACGGCUGGUAAACUGAUUGCCUGGUCGAUAGCACACAAUGGGCCAGGGCCACGGUGUAUCAACAGACACCUGUUCUGUAUGAUGUGUGGCCAGAAGACAUCUCUUGAUGACUUCGAUGUAGAGGUCUUCAUGGACGAAGACAUCAAACAGAACAUAGAAAAGCUGCAGCACCCCAGAAGACCUGGCAGACUUGAAAAGUCACCUUGGGGACUGGAUU
This is a long non-coding RNA of Pundamilia nyererei, 339 nucleotides long. RefSeq lists it as uncharacterized. The transcript is spliced from 3 exons. The record is from RefSeq and is a predicted model, not a curated record. NCBI's taxonomy places the organism in Eukaryota, Metazoa, Chordata, Actinopteri, Cichliformes, Cichlidae.